This 98-nucleotide transfer RNA is filed under the name Pseudonocardiales bacterium. Its description in RNAcentral is "tRNA-Leu". Lineage: Bacteria; Bacillati; Actinomycetota; Actinomycetes; Pseudonocardiales. The record is from RNAcentral.
GCGCUGGUGCACGAUCUGGACGUAUCUGACACCCGGGUCGCCAGGUUGAGGGCCUGGUCCACACUUAGUGGGUGGAGGUUCGAGUCCUCUUCGGCGCA